AGGGGGCGCGAGGGAGUGCGGGCGUCCUGGGGUGGAAGCGGGCCUCUGAGGGCUAAAGGAGGCCUCGGGCACCGGGAGAUUCAGGAGCGGAUGGUGCCUUAACCGCGUCUCCUCCAGCACGCUCACUGUGCCUUUCCGGUCGCCCCUGGAGGCAGAGAUGGCCCUCAGGUCCCUGGCCUCACAUGCCCAACGCCACCGAGGGGUGGUUCAGAAGGAGCUUACAGUGAACGGCAGCACCCUGGCAGUGAGAUGGACUGCUGAAGACCCCGUCUUCUUCCGAGUUUCGAUCAACUCCUUCCUCGACCAGCUUUCCCUGGUGAUCCGAAACAUUCGGGGCUUUGGGUCCCCUCCUCCGGGAAGCCUAGGCCAAGGAAGGGGAGCUGAGGCCUAGUCUUGUGCCCCUUACUAGGCAAGGCACAGGGAGUCGGUACUUGGAGUUGAUGGCCACUUUGUUAUCAGGGUUUAAUUUUUUGCCCGUAGGGGCCCUUGGUCCACUUGGUUUCUUUCCCUGUUGCUAGAGGAACGGGCGCUUGAAGUGUUUGUUACUGCAGAAAAUAAAACUGAGCUACCAUU
Leptonychotes weddellii (Weddell seal) is the source of this 573-nucleotide long non-coding RNA. RefSeq lists it as uncharacterized. NCBI's taxonomy places the organism in Eukaryota, Metazoa, Chordata, Mammalia, Carnivora, Phocidae. The record is from RefSeq and is a predicted model, not a curated record.